UGUUGGAGAUUUGUCUUCUGAACUUUAGUAGUGACCUUAACCAGCAGCGGUUGUUAGAGAUUUGUCUUCUGAACUUUACUAAAGAAGUAAGGUAGCAUAUGUGCAGCAGCGUGUAAGGUGUAGUCUGUCCAAAACUGGGAGGGGGUGCGCUAUCCACCGUGCCUAGCUUGCAUUGUUGUGUCGGUGAGACGGUGAUAUAUAUUAGUGGGUCCCUGGCCGGCCUGUGUUUGCAUGCAUGCAUGCAAUCAUUUACCACACUGACACACACAUUAUAUCCACUGUUUGGCACACAAGAUACACACACGCAUACCAGUGGCGGAGCCAGGAUUUCGCAGCUGGGUAUUCCACGUAUAAAAAAUUUUCAAUAUAUAUGUGCAAUAGUAAUAGGGGACAAAAUCAAUACAAAAUUGAUCCUGAUGCACAGCUCAAGUAGUACAUAUAAUUUUCUUAAAAUAUAUGCUAGAUAAAAUAUUUGUUUAUCCUGGAAAUAAGGCAUCAGGCAAAGUGAGCCUAGUGUCGCCCCUGGUAAUAGUCAAAGUAUAUAUAAAUUUUUUUAUCUAUGUUAGAAGAACAUAAUACAACAUUUCUUUAAAAAAAAUCAGAACGCAACAAAAAAAAGAAAACGAAACCUUCAAUUCUUACUUUGAAGAAUAAAAAAUAGAUGCCGAUACUAGUUGUUCUACUAGGCUUAGAGCAACUUCAAGAGUUUAACUAUUCUUGUUGUUUAUGCUAUUUUAGAAUUUGUAUAGCAAAAAGUAGACUCCAACUAAUAUGCUAUCCAAUUUUGUAAAAUAGGAAGUUGGCUUUCCCUUGAUUUUCGGUGGCUAUAUAUAGCUUACAGACGCUAACUGUAAGACUUAAAAUAAUAAUAUUGUUGU
Molecule: long non-coding RNA, 878 nt
Filed under: Sorghum bicolor (sorghum)
Lineage: Eukaryota; Viridiplantae; Streptophyta; Magnoliopsida; Poales; Poaceae
Description: long non-coding RNA (SBIC_LNC002334)
Source: RNAcentral